This 594-nucleotide ribosomal RNA is filed under the name Alternaria sp. 024. RNAcentral's name for it is "eukaryotic LSU rRNA". The stretch from base 220 to 373 matches the Rfam family "5.8S ribosomal RNA". Lineage: Eukaryota; Fungi; Ascomycota; Dothideomycetes; Pleosporales; Pleosporaceae. The record is from RNAcentral.
GGAAGUAAAAGUCGUAACAAGGUCUCCGUAGGUGAACCUGCGGAGGGAUCAUUACACAAAUAUGAAGGCGGGCUGGAACCUCUCGGGGUUACAGCCUUGCUGAAUUAUUCACCCUUGUCUUUUGCGUACUUCUUGUUUCCUUGGUGGGUUCGCCCACCACUAGGACAAACAUAAACCUUUUGUAAUUGCAAUCAGCGUCAGCAACAAAUUAAUAAUUACAACUUUCAACAACGGAUCUCUUGGUUCUGGCAUCGAUGAAGAACGCAGCGAAAUGCGAUAAGUAGUGUGAAUUGCAGAAUUCAGUGAAUCAUCGAAUCUUUGAACGCACAUUGCGCCCUUUGGUAUUCCAAAGGGCAUGCCUGUUCGAGCGUCAUUUGUACCCUCAAGCUUUGCUUGGUGUUGGGCGUCUUGUCUCUAGCUUUGCUGGAGACUCGCCUUAAAGUAAUUGGCAGCCGGCCUACUGGUUUCGGAGCGCAGCACAAGUCGCACUCUCUAUCAGCAAAGGUCUAGCAUCCAUUAAGCCUUUUUUUCAACUUUUGACCUCGGAUCAGGUAGGGAUACGCGCUGAACUUAAGCAUAUCAAUAAGCGGAGGA